UAUGAACCGUUAUAACCGGCGAUUUCCGAAUGGGGAAACCCAGUGUGUUUCGACACACUAUCAUUAACUGAAUCCAUAGGUUAAUGAGGCGAACCGGGGGAACUGAAACAUCUAAGUACCCCGAGGAAAAGAAAUCAACCGAGAUUCCCCCAGUAGCGGCGAGCGAACGGGGAGGAGCCCAGAGCCUGAAUCAGUGUGUGUGUUAGUGGAAGCGUCUGGAAAGGCGUGCGAUACAGGGUGACAGCCCCGUACACAAAAAUGCACAUAUUGUGAGCUCGAUGAGUAGGGCGGGACACGUGGUAUCCUGUCUGAAUAUGGGGGGACCAUCCUCCAAGGCUAAAUACUCCUGACUGACCGAUAGUGAACCAGUACCGUGAGGGAAAGGCGAAAAGAACCCCGGCGAGGGGAGUGAAAAAGAACCUGAAACCGUGUACGUACAAGCAGUGGGAGCCUCUUAAUGGGGUGACUGCGUACCUUUUGUAUAAUGGGUCAGCGACUUAUAUUCUGUAGCAAGGUUAACCGAAUAGGGGAGCCGAAGGGAAACCGAGUCUUAACUGGGCGUUAAGUUGCAGGGUAUAGACCCGAAACCCGGUGAUCUAGCCAUGGGCAGGUUGAAGGUUGGGUAACACUAACUGGAGGACCGAACCGACUAAUGUUGAAAAAUUAGCGGAUGACUUGUGGCUGGGGGUGAAAGGCCAAUCAAACCGGGAGAUAGCUGGUUCUCCCCGAAAGCUAUUUAGGUAGCGCCUCGUGAAUUCAUCUCCGGGGGUAGAGCACUGUUUCGGCAAGGGGGUCAUCCCGACUUACCAACCCGAUGCAAACUGCGAAUACCGGAGAAUGUUAUCACGGGAGACACACGGCGGGUGCUAACGUCCGUCGUGAAGAGGGAAACAACCCAGACCGCCAGCUAAGGUCCCAAAGUCAUGGUUAAGUGGGAAACGAUGUGGGAAGGCCCAGACAGCCAGGAUGUUGGCUUAGAAGCAGCCAUCAUUUAAAGAAAGCGUAAUAGCUCACUGGUCGAGUCGGCCUGCGCGGAAGAUGUAACGGGGCUAAACCAUGCACCGAAGCUGCGGCAGCGACACUAUGUGUUGUUGGGUAGGGGAGCGUUCUGUAAGCCUGUGAAGGUGGCCUGUGAGGGUUGCUGGAGGUAUCAGAAGUGCGAAUGCUGACAUAAGUAACGAUAAAGCGGGUGAAAAGCCCGCUCGCCGGAAGACCAAGGGUUCCUGUCCAACGUUAAUCGGGGCAGGGUGAGUCGACCCCUAAGGCGAGGCCGAAAGGCGUAGUCGAUGGGAAACAGGUUAAUAUUCCUGUACUUGGUGUUACUGCGAAGGGGGGACGGAGAAGGCUAUGUUGGCCGGGCGACGGUUGUCCCGGUUUAAGCGUGUAGGCUGGUUUUCCAGGCAAAUCCGGAAAACCAAGGCUGAGGCGUGAUGACGAGGCACUACGGUGCUGAAGCGACAAAUGCCCUGCUUCCAGGAAAAGCCUCUAAGCAUCAGGUAACAUCAAAUCGUACCCCAAACCGACACAGGUGGUCAGGUAGAGAAUACCAAGGCGCUUGAGAGAACUCGGGUGAAGGAACUAGGCAAAAUGGUGCCGUAACUUCGGGAGAAGGCACGCUGAUAUGUAGGUGAAGCGACUUGCUCGUGGAGCUGAAAUCAGUCGAAGAUACCAGCUGGCUGCAACUGUUUAUUAAAAACACAGCACUGUGCAAACACGAAAGUGGACGUAUACGGUGUGACGCCUGCCCGGUGCCGGAAGGUUAAUUGAUGGGGUUAGCGGUAACGCGAAGCUCUUGAUCGAAGCCCCGGUAAACGGCGGCCGUAACUAUAACGGUCCUAAGGUAGCGAAAUUCCUUGUCGGGUAAGUUCCGACCUGCACGAAUGGCGUAAUGAUGGCCAGGCUGUCUCCACCCGAGACUCAGUGAAAUUGAACUCGCUGUGAAGAUGCAGUGUACCCGCGGCAAGACGGAAAGACCCCGUGAACCUUUACUAUAGCUUGACACUGAACAUUGAGCCUUGAUGUGUAGGAUAGGUGGGAGGCUUUGAAGUGUGGACGCCAGUCUGCAUGGAGCCGACCUUGAAAUACCACCCUUUAAUGUUUGAUGUUCUAACGUUGGCCCGUAAUCCGGGUUGCGGACAGUGUCUGGUGGGUAGUUUGACUGGGGCGGUCUCCUCCUAAAGAGUAACGGAGGAGCACGAAGGUUGGCUAAUCCUGGUCGGACAUCAGGAGGUUAGUGCAAUGGCAUAAGCCAGCUUGACUGCGAGCGUGACGGCGCGAGCAGGUGCGAAAGCAGGUCAUAGUGAUCCGGUGGUUCUGAAUGGAAGGGCCAUCGCUCAACGGAUAAAAGGUACUCCGGGGAUAACAGGCUGAUACCGCCCAAGAGUUCAUAUCGACGGCGGUGUUUGGCACCUCGAUGUCGGCUCAUCACAUCCUGGGGCUGAAGUAGGUCCCAAGGGUAUGGCUGUUCGCCAUUUAAAGUGGUACGCGAGCUGGGUUUAGAACGUCGUGAGACAGUUCGGUCCCUAUCUGCCGUGGGCGCUGGAGAACUGAGGGGGGCUGCUCCUAGUACGAGAGGACCGGAGUGGACGCAUCACUGGUGUUCGGGUUGUCAUGCCAAUGGCACUGCCCGGUAGCUAAAUGCGGAAGAGAUAAGUGCUGAAAGCAUCUAAGCACGAAACUUGCCCCGAGAUGAGUUCUCCCUGAGACUUAGAGUCUCCUGAAGGAACGUUGAAGACGACGACGUUGAUAGGCCGGGUGUGUAAGCGCAGCGAUGCGUUGAGCUAACCGGUACUAAUGAACCGUGAGGCUUAACCUU
This 2815-nucleotide ribosomal RNA is filed under the name Escherichia coli. Its description in RNAcentral is "partial 23S ribosomal RNA". It matches the Rfam family "Bacterial large subunit ribosomal RNA". Lineage: Bacteria; Pseudomonadati; Pseudomonadota; Gammaproteobacteria; Enterobacterales; Enterobacteriaceae. The record is from RNAcentral.